UUCAAAUGACACAAGUGAGGCAGACGAUGAGAAACUUGACAAAAUGUCCAGUAUUCAAGGCGAGGAUAAUACCUCAAGAAAGAGCAGUACAGAGGCGGAGAAGUCAGAGCUGGCAAGACAGAUACUACUUAGCUUCAUUGUAAAGUCAGUCCAGCAUAAUAUGGAUGCUUCAAGUCAAUCUUCAGGCUACGAAAAGAAGAUUGGGUAUUCAGAAAAUUCUUCAGAUGCAAUUGCAAAUGAUAGUGCUAUCAUAAAGAUCCUAUAUGGAAAUGAAAAGGGCAAAACAAACUUGGCAUCUCAGUCCAAUGAUCAAGAACAGCAAAAACCGAAAGAUGAAAACCAAAAAAGUGGGGAUGGUGAAGGAUUUAUAGUUGUCAGAAAACGGAGAAGAAACCGACAGCAGAUCACCAAUGGGGUAACUGAGAUGUACAAUCAUCAAUCCAUCUGUGCUUCUGUUCGUUAAAAGAGAGAGCAAAGCAAUAAAAUGCAAAGGUGCCGUCCUGUUUCUCCCAAUUUUAUUCGAAAAAUUUGUUAGUGAAUGUUACCGUUGUAGAAAUAAGUUUGGAGCAAGUUUUAAUCAAUACUUGAUUGUAUCAUUUUAGAUAUCCUCUCUGGAUGUUCUAAUAUAAUAUUUGUACAAAUCGGUUUCUUGUUUUGUUAAGAGAUUUUGUUUUGAUCAAUAAAUGAUGAUAAAUUAAUUGGGCGAUUUUCCUCAUCAAGAGAUUUGUGAUGUUGUUCUAUAAUGGAUUUUAAUGUUUUAGACUGAGUUAAUUAUGCCUCAAAUUAUUUGGUAUUUCGUUGGUGCGUGUGAACAAUACGUUCGGAAUGGAGUUGAAUUGACCCACUGAUAGAUAGCUUACAUUUGCAGCGGAAGUUGCUGCACUGAUGAUAUUACAACUAACAUAGUAGUUGGCAAAAUUCCUUGUUCAAUUUAAAUUUGCAAUCAACAGAAACUGAAGAAGAAGCCGUAAGUCUAAUCCUAAUGGAUGCAUAGCUGUUUGGAGAAAAGCCAACGGAGACAUAACACAGCACGAUAAGUUAUACACGGCAGAACCGUAUGUGCUAGUAAGCACAGUCACCGAUGGAAAACAUAUUUGAAAAGCCAAUAUUAGCAUGUGUCAAUACAUCUAUCAAUGAAAUAGAACCACAGUCUGCGCCAGUACGAGUUUAUCCAAAGUGCUGCAAAUAAACCCAAAAUCACUGACACAUAGGAUGCUCCAAAACUCCAUCUUAAUGCCACCAUAUCAAUCACAGAAUCGCCUUCAUCUUCUCCUCCUCCUGUAGGUGUCGCUGGUGGUGCCAACGCACUGCUGCAUUUCCUCUUUAUCAUUGAGCCACAAAGAGCCGAAUUACCUAUAUAACUGCUGUCAUCAAACGUGCCAAACUGCUCUUUGUCUGGGAUUGGGCCGGACAAAUUGUUGUAUGACACGUUGAAGUUUGAUAAAAAGUUGAGCUCAGUUAGUUGAGGAGGAAUUCGGCCACUUAAUUUGUUGCGGGAAAGGUCCAGGCUCUCUAUCAUUUUCAGAUUGGAGAAGCUCUCUGGUAUAGCACCUGAUAGUAAAUUAUUCGACAGAUUAAGUGCACGAAUAUGUUGAAGAUGCCCAAUUUCCCAUGGAAUUUCUCCACUGAACUCAUUGCUCGACAAAUCCAGUCCAGCCAUGUCGUCGAGAUUGCGACCGAUGAAAAAUUCAUAUCUAUACUUUGUCACAAAUUCUACACCUAGUUGAUCUGCUCUAUCAUGUAGUUCACCUUGCGGCUGCGGAUCAAGCGUGGAAUUGUAGUAAGUAAAACUGAAAUCACGAUUUGACACAGCAUAUCCGGAUGCAUAUGAGUAAUCAUCAAUCGCUUCUCUCCAGAAUGACACGUUACCCAAGCAUGAAGGUAUCGGCCCAUUAAGUCUGUUAUGUGAAAGAUCCAUGAUACCUAAUUUUCUUAAUUGGCACAACUGAUUAGGAAUACGUCCUUGUAGAUAAUUCCCUCUCAAAAGAAGAACAUGCAAAUUCGAAAGCUCAUUGAUCUGAUGAGGAAUCCUACCAAAAAAAUUAUUGUCCCUCAAAUCGAGAGUCAAUAAUGUAGAGCUUCUAAGCAAUGCAAUUGGAAUUAACCCAUUAAUUGCAUUGUUAUGCAGAUAAAUGUGCUCCACUGAUGAAAGAUUGGAGAGAGAUACCAUGGACCCAGACAAACUAUUUUCGGAGAUGUCUAUAAACUCAAGUCUUUCAAGAUUGCCGAGCUGGACCGGAAUACUACCUUGCAAAUAAUUUUCUGACAUUAAAAGAACCCAAAGGGCUGAGAAGUUGCCAAUCCAGUGGGGAAUAUCGCCGGAUAACUUGUUGUUGGAUACAUUUAAUACCUCUAGCAAAUUGGAGCUCAACAAACCAUCUGUCAUCUUCCCACUGAAAUGAUUGUUGCCCAAAAGCAAGGAAUUCAAAUGAGUCAAGUUCAUAUAAUUGGGAAAAAGUUGGCCAUAGAAAUUGUUAUUUGAUAGGUCCAACGUAUCUAAGGAGAGGCAACCAGAGACUAUAGGUCGAGAUAAUUCUCCUGAAAAAUUAUUUCUAGACAAAUCCAAAGUAAUUAGCUCUUUCAUCUCACUGAUUGAAUAAGGAAUAUUACCUUCAAAAUUAUUUUUUGACAUAUCUAAAUAUAUCAAUUUCUGAAAGACAAUACCCAAAUUUUCUGGUAGCUUACCAGAGAAAUUGUUAGUGGAAAUAUCUAGAUGACGAAGCUUAUCGUAUUUGGCAUUGGGAAGUCGUGGAAGAAUUCCUGAGAAUGAGUUAUUCCACAAAAUCAUAACUUCUAAUCCUGUGUUAUUUUGCAACAACCAAGUUGGGAAAUUGCCAACCAACUGAUUGUGAGAGAGAUCAAGGAAUUUUAAGUGGUGUUGGUGUAAAAGAAAACUAUUAUUGACAUUUAAGUGGCAGUAACAUAAUUGGAGAACCUUGAGAGGAUAUGUGGGGAGCCAGUUUUCGGUUUUCACUUGCAACAUAUCGUUUCCUGACGAGAGUAGCAAGACCUCAAGCUUUGAAUGAUUAGCCAAUGAAUUUAUUGAGAAUGUUCCUUGGAAAUCGAUGAAAGAGAGAUCCAAAUAUUCAAGUGAUGUGAGGUUGGUCAAGGCAGAAGGAAAGUUUCCACUUAACUGAUUGUAAGAAAUAUCAAGAACUUUGAGAUGGGUCAAAUUGUUGAGACACUGAGGAAGAUGACCCUCAAAAUUAUUUGACCUUAAAUCCAACUCAAGAAGAUUCUUCAAAUUACAUAUUCCUGAAAGUGAAAAUAAAAAGCUCAGAUUUCAUAAAACGAAAACUAAUUAUAGCACAUUCAAUCAUAAACCCAAUAUAAGACUUAUAAAACGGACAUGAAAUCAAAUUGUCUAAGUAUUUUGGUCAACAUAAAUAAUAAUAGAAUGAUAUGAAUUUAUUUCUCAUAUAAUAUGAUGUUGAUUGCAAAAGUGUUUCAAUUAAUCUAACAAUAAAAAAGAAAAUAAUAAUAAUACAAAAGCAAUCAUCAAUUCUUGCUCAUCAUAAUCCAUUCAAAAAGCGUUUCAGCAAUUCUCGUUGUUUAAAAUAAUGAUUUUCUGCGGAAGAGUUUGUUGACUUCGUCUUUUUCGUUGGAUAUUGGUUUUCUAAUCUCUAAAUUUGUUGGAUAAUGUAAAGAGAAACUCAUAAUAUAUUGGUUGCUUUCUUAAACUUUAUUUAUUCUUCUCAUAGCAUUAAACAAAUGUAUUUGCCCAAGCGGGGGAAAAAAAAAAAAAACUGGUCUUCGUAUUUAAUUUCGUCGAAGUACUUCGACCAACAAGUUACUGGGAAGUAGGAAUUGUGUAAUCAGUAAUGCAAAUAUUGGGUGCGUUGGUAUUGUUUUUAUAUGCUGUUUUUUAUUUUUUGAAUUUAGAAAAUAUUAGAUACGUGUUCGGUAGAUUGUUUCUGAAAAUAUUUUUAAAAAUAUAAAAUUCAUUCUACACAUUUUAACAAAAGAAAUGAGAAACAACUUUUUCUUAUUUUCCUUAUUUCCCAAUACAAUAUUAAGUUCCAAAAUGAAGAAUUCUCUUUACCUCCUCCUGAAAUAAUAAUAAUAUCAACAUUAUUAUUAUUAUUAUUAUUAUUAUUAUUAUUAUUAUUAUUAUUAUUAUUAUUAUUAUUAUUAUUAUUAUUAUUAUUAUUAUUAUUAUUAUUAUUAUUCUUGUUGUUGUUGUUGUUGUUGUUAUUGUUGUUCUUGUACCCAAAGAAUCAAUUUCCCUCACAAUAAUCUUUUCUUUUUAUAUACAUUAUAAUAUUUAUGUUUUUAUAUUAACUAAAUCAAAUAUGUAGGGUUUAUCAUUUUUCUUUGAACAAAAAAAAUAGAAAGAUCACCUAAUUUAUUCUUAAAAUUAAAAUAAUCAAUAUACAUUGCUUAAUCUUAAGUUUAUGGAAAUUAUUCCAAUAAUAAUUCUUUGAGACAUUCUUACCAAACAUAUUUGUUUUCUCAUUUUUGAGAUUAUUUUUUAAAAUGAUACUGAACACAUUUUUAAAUUUUAAAAAUAAAUUUAAAAAUAGCAUUUUCAUUUUUUUUGUGAAAACAACAAUUAGAAAACAAUAUUGGGCUCUUAUUUAUCAUGUUUCAACAUAAAAACACAGUGUAAAUGGUUUAAUAUGGGUUUCUAGAGAAUUUUUUAUAUUACUAUUACUCAAAUUCAAUGCUUCCAAGCUUUUGAAUUUAGCUAAUCUUGCACCAAGAAUUAAUGAACAUAAGGAAAAAAAAAUUUAUUCAGAACUAUAAAUAUUGAAAUAAAGAUAAAUAUCAUUGUUGAUUUUUUUGUAAAAAAAGAUUUAGAAUUAAGAGAGAGUGAAAGAAAUGAGCGGGUUAUGUCGGAAAUUGGUGAUAGAGUAUGUCAAGUACUAAACUUUGUAUAGAAAGCAGUGCUUCUAAUUUAAAUUUGAUCUAGUUUAAAGCAAUUAAAAAAUGCAAAUAUAUUAUCAUCUUGAUUAACAUCUAAAACAAUUUUUGUCAUUGGAGGAAGUGAGUUGUUAUAUACCUUGAAUUGUAGUUAUCCCACAAGAAUGAAGAUCCAAUGCUUUCAAAUUUGGCAAAUCUGCCAAUCCUACAUGCGCUAAUAAAAAAUGAAAAUAUUACAUUUAAAGGUAUUGUAUGUGAUCUGCGCGUUUGAAGAAUAUUAAUUCUUAAUUUGCUUCUUAUCUCAGAUUCAGUGGCUUACCUAGCGUUGUCAAAUUUUGAUUUAAGCUUAAAUCCAACACUUGCAGGUUUGUCAAAUUUGCUAAUCCUAUUAAAAAAAAACAUAAAUUUUGUCAAUAAUAGUUACAUCACUCUCGUCUAAAUUGUUUAAUUAAAAUAAUAUGAUAAAUAUUAAAUGAAAAUUAACUGUGCAAAUUGUUUAAUUAAAAAAAUUGCCUUCUAAAGAACUGUGUAUAUAAUAAUUAUAACUCAAAUCCAACGUUUCCAAGCUUUUUAAUUUAGCUAAUCCUGCACCAAGAAAGAAGAAAACUUUUAUUAAUCAUCUUUGGAAAAAAAAAAGAAUUAAGAUUAAGAAACAAAUUUCAAAGUUAGAUUAAAUAAUUGUAGUAAUAAAGCUUAUGAUGAUUAAGAUCUAAUUAAAUUGAUCAUAUACUCAAAAAUGAUUUUAUUUUAUUUUAUUUUUUAAUUUUACUAAGAAAUUAGAAAGUAAAUUUUUGUCGUGUACCAAUUGUAGUCAAGUUUGUCAAGUUUUCCAGUCAAAAAUUGCUUUUAAUUUGACAUUAUACAUAUGUAAAAAUUAAGGCCAUAAUAAUAUCACAAGGAAUUUGGGUAGUGACUUGUUGCCGUGUACCUUGAAGUGUAGUUAUUCCACAACUACCAAGAUCCAAUUCUUUCAGGUUUGUCAAAGAUAAUCCUAUACCAACGAAAAGCAAACUAUUACUUUUAAAAUUAUUGUAGAAGGUUGUGAUUAGUGUGCUAACUUGGUAGUUAUCUCAGUAGCCUACCUAGCCUUGUUAAAGAGCCACUAGUUAUAUUGCGGUUCCCGCUUAGAUCCAACACUUGCAAGUAUCUCAAAUUUGCUAAUCCUGCUCAGAAAACAUUAAUUUUGAUCAAGACAAUAUAAAUAUAUAUUUUAAUUAAGAAAUUAAUUAAGUUGCCUGACAUGUAUAUCUGCUGGCCUGAAACGUAUAUGUAUACCUUGCUUGGUUCUGGAACCUUCAAUCUUAUUGUAACGAAGAUUCAGAGUGGUAAGUGAAGUUAGUGUAUUCAAAUAUGGUAAUAUGCUGUCGUUGAAGUAAUUAAAACCAAGAUUUAAGGUCUUUAGCUGCUUCAAACUCCCAAAGCUAUCGUAAGCUGCAAAUGCAUAUGAAGUGUUAUUAUUAAUUAGUCACUGACAAAAUAUUUAUGGACGAGAAAUAAAUGUAUACAUAUAUACGGACCUCUAUUCUCACAGAAGCCUGUAAACCCAUUCCCAGGUAAGUCGAGCCUUUGCAAUUCUUUGAAAGGAUGAAACAAUGACAUAUUCAGAAGCGAAGCCGAAGUUCCAUCAUAAUAAUUCAAUCUCUUUGUAUAAUUGAGUGAGAGUUGCAUCACGCGUCGUGUGGUGGCGUUGCACAUAACUCCCUCCCAAUCAUCACAGCAAUCAGACGGCAUUCCAUCAUCCUCACCAACCCAUGAAGGAAGAAUUUUGUCAUCAUAUCCAAUAUCACUGACUAAUGAUAUGAAGAAGCUCUUGAUUUCCAACAGAGCAGUCCUCUCUGUUUCCAAGCAUCCUUUGUAUCCAUGAAUUUCAUUCAUCAAUACAAUAAUCCAAAUUAGUGACAUUAAUGAGAACUUAAUACAGGAAGUACUUUCCAUUGUAGAGCAACUUUUCAUUUGGUUAAAAUUAAAUGUGCAAUGAGCAACUUUCCAUUGCAAAGCAAUUUAUACUAAAAGUUUAUCGUAGGUCUUGCAAUUUGAUUGGCUGAAGACUUUUUUAAGACUUUCCAAUACAUUGCCAUCUUUGAAGACUUGUAAGCACUUCAUUAAUACCCCGUGGAAAAUAUAGAUAAAGUGAUUGUAAACUAUAAAUUUUUGUAAUAGUUUGAUGGAGAUAAUCAUAACUAAUAAAAAAAAAGUUGACUGAGAGAAUUUAAAUAAUUUAACCAUAUGUUUGGAUUUCCAUUGCAUUAUCAGUCAAUCUAUUAAAUAAUGUGUUUUGAGAAGAAUUUGAUUGGAUGUUUGUUAAGUUUAAAUUAAUUUAUUAGAAAAUCAAUAAUUAAUCAACGUAAAUUUUCAUAUAUGUUUAGUUAGUGUGGCGUUGUCUGAAAUGACAAAAAACAUAAAUGUUAUUUGAAGCACUUUUAAUUCGACCAAAGCUACUAAAAUCAAAGAUAUUGGGAAUCCUUAAUAAGGAAAGUUUCCAUUGCUCUCAGUCUGCACUCUUCAUUACUAUUGCAAUCACUUGAAAUGACUAAAACAGAAAUUUCGUAUGAACUUGGGACAGCUGCACGGGUCCAAUUUAAAUGACAACUACGUGGAAAAUAAAAAUUUUGCAUAUAUUAUUACAACUACGUGGAAAAUUAAAGUUGACUGACUUUCAAAUCAAGCCAACAAACAAGUGGCCAUCAACUCUUUUUCCACUAACAAUUAGUGGCGACGGUCAAUACUAUAGAAUAAAAGUUGACUAAGAAUUUAUGUAAUUUAAGAGUAUGAUUGGCCUUUUAUUGAAUAUUAUGAUUGGGUUUGCACUGAAUUAUCAAAAAAUCUAUUCAACGAUUUAUAUUCUAAAAUAUUUAGUGAGUUUAGAAAAUUAUUUUAUUAGAUUUUUGUUAAUUAUUAUUAUUAUUAUUAGAUGGCCAACAAUUAAUCAAGUAAUUUUCCAUAUAUAUUUGAUAAUUUACUCAUAAAAGCGUGGACUACAUUCAAAUGGCAUUUUAUAUGAUGUAUGAUAUAUGUAGAGGUGAAAUUUAAAUAGGCUUAAUUUUAUAAAUAAAUACAUAUGUAUUGCAGCAUUCAAUCAUUGUGUUAAAGCGCCAAUCACGGUGACCACCAAAACCUAUGAAUGAUUAGUCCAUUGAAACCCAAUGUAUGCUCAAUUAAUAUUUCCUAUCAAGAUCAAAUUUUUCGCUCUAUUGCUUCAACAAUCAUGAGCAUAAAAGCUCGAUUUAUACAAAAAUUACGAAUUUAUGAAAAAAAAAGUCACAUUUAUUAUAAUAUGAAGUUUGAUUGAUUUUUAAAUAUUGAUUCAAUCAAUCUUAAUGUUACUGGACAAUCGAUCUUAAUGUUAAUUCAAAAUCAAUCUUUAUUUCGAUGGGCACAGAUAAAGAUAAUUAGUUUUGGUCUCUAUAAUGACUGACGAAGACUUGUAGGACCUGGACCAAUGAGGAAAAACACUUUCAAAUUAAGCCAACAUGCAAAUGGUCGUCAAUUCUAUUUUUUACAAAAAUUGAUGGAGAUAGUCAACUAAUAAAAUAAAAGUUGAUUGAGAUAAUUUAAAGAAUUUAGGCAUAAGUUUGGCUUUUAAAUUAUCAAAUAAUUUAUUCCACUAUUGAUACUUAAAAAAGUGCUUUGGAAUUAAUAAUUCAAUAGGAUGUUUGAUAUAUUGGAAUUCGUGAAAAUCAAUAAUCAACUAUUUUUUAUACAUGUUUAGAAAUUUAUCCGGUGUGUAUAGGGGCUUGUAUAUUUCACAAUAAACAUGAAUUAGUACAUCCAUCGAUUGACGUAUAAUUAUAAUCAUAUAAUCAAACACGCACACUACAAGGCGACCUUCGAUUGACGUAUUCUGUCAACUAACCCGUGGGAGAUGGAGGAUGUCUUAACGUUAUAAAAAAAAUUGAUGAAUAAUAUAAUUCCAGGCAGUGCUAAAACCAUAAUGUACGCCAGUAUGAGUUUAUCCAAAGUCACCGGCUACACCAAUAUCAUUGUGACAUAGUAACAUUCUUGUCCCAUUGAGUGAGAGUUGCAUCACCCGGCGUGUGGUGGCGUUGCACUCAACUCCCUCCCAAUCAUCACAACAAUCAGACGACAUUCCAUCAUCAACCCAUGAAGUAAGAAUAGAGCCUUCAUAUUCCCUAUCACUGAUUGAUAUAAAGAAGCUCUUGAGUUCCAACAGAGCAGUCCUCUCUGUUUGCAAGCAUGCUUUGUAUCCAUGCAUUUCAUUCAUCAAAACAAUAAUCCAAAUUAGUGAAAUUAAUGAGAACUUGACAAAGGAAGUACUUUCCAUUGCAAAGCAACUUUUCAAUUGGUUAAUAUAAAAUUUGCAACGAGGAAACUUCGAUAUUUAUACUAAACAUUUAUCAUCAUGGACCUUGCAAUUUGAUUGGCUGAAGAUUUCCAACCACCCAACCUAACGAAAAUGAAACAUCUUAGAGAUAUCAAGUAAUAAAAAUAUUUGAUUAUCUUAUUUUUGUUUUAGAGGGUUAUUAAAGACAAAACAUUGUCAAUACAUUAUAACAUCGCUAUCUUGAAGUCUUCGUCUUUAGUGAAGACUUGUAAGCUUGAAAUUACAUAUAUAUUGCAACAUCGACCCAGGAGAAAAAGAACUUCACUAAUACUCCGUGAAAAAUAAAAUUAAAGUUGACUGACUCUCGAAUUAAGCCAACAAACAAGCGAGUGCAAACUAUAUUUUCUCCAACAGUUUGAUGGAGAUAGUCGUAACUAAUAAAAUAAAAGUUGUGUGAAAGAGUUUAAAUAAUUUAUCCGUAUAUUUGGGUUUACAUUGGAUGAUCAGUUAAUCUAUUAAAUAAUAUGUUUUGUAAAGAAUUUGAUUGGAUGUUUGAUAAGUUUAAUUUCGUAGUUUAAUUACUCAUAAAAGUGUGAUGCACUCUAAAAUGACAAACACAUAAAUGUUAUUUGAAGCUUUUGUGACCCUUCAUGUUCAUGCAUUUGAAUCAAAGCUAUUAAAAUCAAAUAUAUUGAUAAACCUUAAUAAGGAAAUUAAGUUUCGAUUGCUCUCAAUCUGUAACUCUACUACUAUUACAAUCACUUGAAAUGACAAAAACAGAAAUUUCAUAUGAACUUGGGACAGAUGUACACGGGUUCAAUUUAGCUAAUUUCCCAUAUACUUACAACUACGUACGGGGAAAAUUAAAGCUGAUUGAUUUUCAAAUUAAGCAACAAACAAGCGGCUGUCCUACUAUUUUUCCUCUACCAAUUGACGGAGACCGCCGAUGCUAUAAAACAAAAAUUGAUUAAGAAUUCAGAUAAGGAAAAUUAUCAACUGUCCGUCCUAAGUUUAUCAUUUAUUAAUUUUUCGCCUUAAGUUUACAAUUCGUAUUAGUCAUCUACUAAAAAGAUAGAAUUACACUUAUGAAAUGACAAUACAGAAACAAAUACAAAUGGCAAUAGUGGUAAUUUUGUAUGAAUUUUUCUGUUCUUUUGGUGGUUGGUUGAUACAAAUUAAAAACAUAAGAAGAAAAAUAAAUAAAUUCAAACUUUUAGUAUUUCUGAUAGCAGGUUAAACCAAAGGAGGGCUUUACAAUUUCCCUUUAAAUAAUUUAAGGGUGUGAUUGCGUUUCUAUUGAACUAUAUGCUUGGAUUUGCAUUGAAUUAUCAAAAAAUCUAUGCAAGCAUCGAAUUGUAAUGACUGACGAAGACUUAUAAGGCUUGGACCAAUGAAGAAAAAUGCUUCAUUAAUGCUCCGUGGAAAACAAGCCAGUUUGGAAGAAGUUGAUCGGAUAGUCAACAGUUGAUUGAGAUAGUCAACUAAUAAAAUAAAAGUUAGUUGAGAUAUAAUUUUAAUAAUUUAAGCGUCGUUUGGGUUUGAAAUAAUCAAAUAAUUUAUUGAGAAGAGUUGAAUUCCGUUAUUUUAUUGAGAAGAGAUCCAUCACUCCCUCCCAAUUAUCACAGCAAUCAGAUGACAUUCCUUUAUCAUCGUCAAACCAUGAACUAAGAGCUUCGUCAUCGUAUCCAAUAUCACUGGCUGAUAUGAAGAAGCUUUUGAUUUCUAACAGAGCAGUCCUCUCAGUUUCCAAGCAAGCUUUGCAUCCAUGCAUUUCAUCCAAAACGACAAUCCCAUUGCAAAACAGCUUUUUAUUUGGCUAAAGUUAAAUGUGAAUUAAAUAUCUUUGACUGGUGAUAUACAUAUAUUCAGAGAUUUGAAGUGCUCAAACCAAAAAAAAAAUAAAAAUAUAAAAAUAUUAUUAUAAAAAAAUUGAUGAAUAAUAUAGUUCCAGGAAGUGCUAAUAUGGCUCUUUGAACUCUCUUUACAAGUAUAGUACAGUAUUGGUAGAAAUUUAUCCGGUGUGUACAAGGGCUUGUAUAUUUUGCAAUAAAAUAUACAAGCCAAUAUGAUUUUCUUUCUUUCUUUCUUUCUUUUUUUUUUAGAAACAUGAAUUGGUUCGUCCAUCAAUUAAUAAUAAAACCAUAAUGUACGCCGGUAUGAGUUUAUCUAAAAUCACCGGCUACACCAAUAUCAUUGUGACAUAGGAAGCGAUGAGGAAAUUUACGAAAUAUUUAUUAAACCAUAGUCUACACCAGUAAGAUGGAAUUAGCAUUCAAUGAUCAUAGACUUUCUGCAAUUUCAUUGACUUGUGAUCAGGGAGUCCUUAUUCUACAAUAAUUAUAAUCAAACAUGCACACUGCAAGGCAACCUUCAAUUGACGUAUUCUGUCAACUAACUGGGGACAGGGGUCAUAAAAGGGUACGGGAGAGAAAGCAUGAGUCUAUGCACAGUUCCGGUUUUGCUAGUUGAUGGAACAUGGAGGUUGUGUGUUAAUGUUAACCAAUAGUCAAGUUUAUGAACACAACCAAGCAAUCGUAUCAUCAAUCAGAGCCACAUUCGAUGCACGACUAGUAAAUAUCAUAAUUGAGUUUGAGGACCACAGCCGCACAAUGAAAGAAUUUGAAUGAAGGAAAAGUAAAGCAAAAUGAAAAGGAAAAGAGGGGAAUGCUAAAGAAAAAUAAGCUAAUUCAUCAGUAACUCCAUAUGACAAUUGCACCCAAAUUUUGGAUGUUUUUAGCCUCACGAAAUUUCAACAUUAAUGAUAAAUUACAGAUAUGUGAAGGAAAACUUAGAAACCAACUUGUGUUCAUAGAGAAAAUGCUCAAAAAAUAAAUUAAAGGAGUGCAAGGCUCAAUAUAAUUCUUUAGCGUGUGAAUCAAAAUAAUUAACAGAGACUGUCCCGCGUGUCACAUGUAACUAAUUUUGGCGCCAUCUUGAGCUACUUCUGUUAAGGCCUUCACUCCAUAGUCUUAAGAACACAAUGCACAAUAAAUUCUUCAGAUUCAUAUGGCAAAUGAAUUGCACAACAAGGCAUAAUUACUCAUAAAAGAAAGAUACAGUAAACCAUGGCCUGGUACUGUCGUUUUGUGCGUUCUAGUGGUAUUGUAGUUUAAACGAUACUCGUUUUUCUAUCUUGGUGGUUUCUUGAUUGUGUUCAAAUAUCAAUAAUCGAAGCAAAUAAGUUGUAGUGGUAUUGCACGCAACUUUUGGAUUGUGUUGGCGCCAUCUUGUGCUAAUUCUGUUAAGGCCUUCACUCUAUGGUCUUAAGAACACAAUGCACGAUAAAUUCUUCAGAUUCAUAUGGCAAAUGAAUUACUCAUAAAAGAAAGAUAAAGUAAACUAUGGCCUGGUACUGUCGUUUUGUGCGUUCUAGUGGUGUUGUAGUAUAAACAGUACUCGUUUUUCUAUCUUGGUGGUUUCUUGAUUGUGUUCAAAUAUCAAUACUCAGAGACAGAUAGAGGAAAGCUAAAGAAAAAUAAGCUAAUUCAUCAUUAACAUAAUAUGACAAUUGCACGCAAAUUUUGGAUGUUUUUAGUCACUGAAAUUUUUAACAUUAAUGAUGAAUUACAAGUAUGUGAAUGAAAACUUAUAAACAAAUUUUGUUUACGGGAAAAAUGUAACUGUGAAAGAAAGUAAAAGAGAGUAGAGAGACUAAAAACAGAGGAUUUCAUUCGUCAUUUCAUAACUAUAUUCCUACUCAGGCCUUUACUCUGGACUUAAGACCGCAUGUCCGAAAAAUUCGUCAGAUUCAUGUAGCAAAUGAAUUGCACAAGGAGGCAUAAAAAUUAGUAUAUUUUUCAAGGACCCAGCUUGAAAGCAAUGAACUAAAAAUUAAUACAUAAAAGUUCAAUUACACGUAAAGAAGGAUAACAGUAAACUAUGGCCUAGCAAGAUGACGGAUGAAAGAAAACCAUGGCCAGCGCCAAUACGAAUUCAACCAAAGGAUUCAUCUUAAUUGCAGAUUCAUCUUCGUCUUCUCCUCGAUUGGAUGUUAUUGCUGGAUUUUCCUAUGUUCUGUUGCAAGUCUUAUUAAUUGUUGGACCACAAAGACCGAGAUUAUAACUCUUUUCAUCAAACCUGCCAAAUUGUUUUUUGUCUGGGAUCAGACCGGACAAGUCCUUAUAUGACUCGUUAAAGUUGGAUAAGUAGUUGAUUAUUGAUCAGAAGAUCACUAAUCAGAAAAUUUUUCAUUUAUGUUUGUGUAAAUUAUUCAUAAAAGUAUGGUCUACUCUGAAAUUACAAAAAUAAACAUAAUAAAUUUGAAUAAAGGAAAGGAAAAUGAGAAGCAAAACAGAGGAAUGCUAAGGAUAAAUAAGCUGAUUCAUCAGUAACUCAAUAUGGCGAUUGCACACAACUUUUGGAUGUUUUUAGCCUCUGAAAUUUCAAUAUGAAUGAUACAUUACAAAUAUGUGAAGCAAAACUUAGAAACCAAUUUUUGCUUACAGAGAAAAUGUUAAAAAACAAAUAAUGAUAAAAGAGUGCAGAGAAACUAAAAACAGAGGAUUUCACGGAUCAUAAUUUAUAAGUGAUAUUCCUAGUGCAAGGCUGAACAUAAAUCUUAGGUGUGCGAAUCAAGAUCAUUAACGAAGAGAUCACGCGUGUCCCAUGUAACUAACUUUGGCGUGAUGUUGGAUGGUUGCAUAGAAUGAGUAGGGUAUCUUUCAAAGGUCAUAAUUUGGACUACAAGUGUAACUAACAACGACGAUGCUCAAGUUUGGUUAUCGUCGAUCACUGCGGAUUGAUGUUCGUAGCUCCUCCUAUAUCAAGGAAAUGUCAUAAUUACUUUCCAAACAUAAGAAAUACAACUAUUUUAUGUGAUAUGAUUCACAAUGAAUAUUUAUCCCAUAGCUUAUAACUCUCGAAUCCAUUAUUUGUAAAUAAAAAUUACCCUAAUACUCUCAAAACCAUCAAUUGCACCUUAUGCUCAAAAUUUCAUAUUCCAGCUCAAUAAUUAAAUUUCCAUAUCCUAUAAUACUAAUAAAUCAGCCACAUUAUCACCAAUCUCAUUAUUAGCCAUGAACUACCCAAACAUAAUAUAUAACAAUAAGCUAUUUACAUACCGAAUUGAGGAAAUAGUGAGCGCUACACAUUUUGGCUCUAAUGCCUUGGUGCCCUUGUGCACCUAAAAUGAUCCACCAAUUACUAAAAUUAGCUUGGGACUUACUACACCCAUUUGUUGGGAACCCUAACUAUAAAUAAAGUAUACAAAUCUUUAAAUUAAUUUCAUUUUCAUGUAAAUGCAAUUUCAGGUAAAGAUAAAAUGAUAGAAAUCUUACUCCAUUUGGUAAGAAAUUCAACUUGAAAGCUUGAAUCACUUCCCUCUCACUCAAAUCCUUUCUCUACACUUCCUACAUUUAAAUUCCUCUCCAAUGAAUUUCCAAAUGAACUUAGGGAUAAAAAUACUCUAGAAUGACUCUCGAAUCCAAUUUGUGAAAGACCAAACUCAAUUUUGGAAAAAUCCUAAAUCAUGAAAAUUUUCCCAUUGUCUUCCUCUCAUGCCCGUGAGCUUUUGCAAAGCAAUGGUAAGUGCUUUUUUUUUAUUCGCUUUACAUAUAAAGCUUAUUUUAUAUUUUUGUUUAUGGGCUUUUGAAAUAUUAUUUUAGGCCCAAUUAAAGAAAAUUAAUUUACCCAAAUAAAGAAUAUUAUUUUAUAUACAUUCGUAUUCAUAAGUUAUUAUUAAUAACUUGUAUAUAGAAGUCAGGGCAGUACACAAAUUUACUGAGUAAAGUUGUACUUUAAUUGGUGAACUCUGAAGGCACCAAUUAUAACAUCCAUUUCUAGCAUAUAUAUAUAUAUAUAUCAUGGAAAUCUGACAUGCUUAUACAGAUCACAUACAGGAUUCAAAAUUUAGAAGAUUCUAAAUUAUUUAAGGCCAGAGAUUGGGCCAGCUUGUUUAGUUAGUAGGCAAUGAUGGAAGGUUGCUUGGUAAAGCUGCUAGAUCUUUAGAAAUUCAGAGAUGACGGGCAGCAAAGAGUGAUAAUUUUUGUUUUCCCCAAUCACCUUGAACAGAGUGAGAAGAAACCAUUAUUUCGAUAUGUGCAGUUCUUCCAUCAUAUUGUUAUUUAAUGGUUGUUGUUAUUAAUUCUAGAAAAACAUUUUUCGAUUUGGCAAAUGGAGUUUUUCAUCUUCAAAAGAAGAGUCCCAGGUUCCAAACGUUACUGCCAUGGCUUCCAAGUCGCUGUUCUACAAAGAAAUAUCGGUGGCACCGCGAGAUCCCGUUGAUAUUACAAUCAACAUAGUAUUUGGGAAAAUUGCUCCUUCGGAUUGUAGCAUUUCGAGUCUCAGGUUCUUUCAAUCAACACAAGCACGUUCGAGAUACAACAGGAAGUUGUUAAAUUUAUAUUUGCAACCAACAGAAACUGCAGAAGAAACAAUAAGUCUAAUUUUAACGAAACCACUCGAAGGAACUUCGAAACUUGAGCAUAGUUUUAGAACCAAAUUAAGAAUUUUAGCAAAACACAUACAUUGAUACAUUCAUCAAUGAAAUAGAACCACCCUCUACGCCAAUAGGAGUUUAUCAAGCAAACCAUAGUCAUACAAAUAAUAAUUAGUUCAUUCUCUCCAGAAUGGCACGUUACCCAAGCAUGAAGGUAUUGACCCACUAAACAUGUUAUUUGAAAGAUCCAUGAUACGUAAUUUUGCUAACUGGCAAAAUUCAUUAGGAAUAUGUCCUUGUAGAGAAUUCCCUUUUAAAAGAAGAACAUGCAAAUUCGAAAGCUCAUUGAUCUGAUAGGGAAUCCUACCAAAGAAUUUAUUAUCCCUCAAAUCUAGAGUGAUUAAUUUAGAGCUUCUAAACAAUGCAUUAGGAAUUUACCCAGAAAUAGCAUUCUUCUGCAAAUAAAGGUGUUUCACUGAUGAAAGAUUGAAGGAAGAUACCAUGGACCCAGACAAACUAUUUUCAAAGAUGUCUAUAAGCUCAAGACUUUUAAGGUGGUUGAGUUGGACUGGAAUAUUAGCUUCCAAAUAAUUUUUUGACAUUAAAAGAACCCUAAGAGUUGAGAUGUUACCAAUCCAAUUAGGAAUAUUACCGGAUAACAUGUUGUCGGAUAUAUCUAACCCCUCUAAUGAAGUGGAGCUCCUCAAACCAUCAUCCAUCUUCCCACUGAAAUGAUUGUUGUCAAAAAUAAAUAAUUCAAAUGGGUCAAGUUCAUAUAUUUGGGAAAAAUUCGGCCAUAGAAAUUGGUAUUUGGUAGGUCUAACAAAUCUAGAGCGACGCAACCAGAGACUAUCGGUCAGGGUAAUUCUCCCAAAAAAUUAUUUCUAGAAAAAUCCAGCAUAUAUAACUCUUUCAUCUCACCUGUUGAAUAAGGAAUAUCACCUUCAAAAAUGUUUUUUGACAUAUCCAAAUAAAUCAAUUUCUGAAGGACAAUACCCAUAUUCCGUGAUAGCUUACCAGCGAAAUUGUUAUUGGAAAUAUCUAGAUGACGAAGCAUAUCGUGUUUGGCAUUGGGAUGUAGAUGAAGAAUUCCUGAGAGUGAGUUGUUCGCCAAAGACAAAUAGUUUUAUCUUGUGUUGUUUUGGAACAACCAAAUUGGGAAAUUGCCAACCAACUUAUUAUGAGAGAAGUCAAGGAAUUUUAAGUGGUCCUGUUGUAAAAGAAAACUUGGAAUGACAUGUAACUGGCAGUCGGAUAAUUUGAGAACCUUCAAUUGAGAUGUCGGGUGCCAGCUUUCGGUUUUCACUUGUAACAUAUUGCUUCCUGAUGAGAGUAACAAGACCUCGAGCUUUGAAUGAUUAGCCAAUGAAUUUAUUGAGAAUGUUCCUUGGAAAUUAAUGGAAGAGAGAUCCAAAUAUUCAAGUGAUGUGAAGUUGGUCAAGGUAGAAGGAAAGUUUCCACUUAAUUGAUUAUUAAAAAUAUCAAGAACUUUGAGAUGGGUCAAGUGAUUGAGACACUGAGGAAGGUGACCCUCAAAGUUAUUUGAGCUCAGAUCCUACUCAAAAAGAUUCCUCAAAUUACAUAUUUCUGAACCUGAAAAUAAAAGAUCAAAAUUUUAUAGAAUGGAAACUAAUCAUAGCGAAUUCGGUCAUAAUCCAAUACAAGACUUAAAAAACAGACAAAAAUCAAAUUGUCUAAUUAUUUUGGUCAGCACAAAUAAUAAUAGAGUAAUGUGAACUUAUUUCUCAUAUAAUAUGAUGUUGAUUGCAAAUGCGUUUCAAUAAUCUGAAAAAAGGGAAAAAAAAAUGCCCUCAGCACUUUUUGCUCAUCAUAACCCUAAGUCCUUCUUGUUUAUAAUUAUAAUUUUCUGAGGAAGAAUUUGUUCACUUGAUGUUGUUCAUUGGACAAUGGUUCUGUAACCUCUAUAAUGUAAAGAGAAACUCAUAAUAUUUUAGUUGUCUUCUUAAAUAAUAAAUUGUCUUAAAAUACAAUUAAUUUGUCUUAAAUUUAAUUUAUUCCUCAGCAUUCAAGGAAAAACAAAAACAAAAAAAAAAGAAAAAGAAAAAAGAAAUGGUCUUCAUAUAUAAUUCUGUCCAAGUACUUUGAUACACAAAUCAAUCGGAAGGUGGUGUAUCAGUAAUGCAAAUAUUUAAUUAUCAUGUUUCAACAUAACAAUUCUGUGUAAAUUGUUCGCUUUAGGUUUCUAGAGAACUGUUUAUAUUAUUAUUACUACUCAAAUUCAAUGCUUCCAAGUAUUUGAAUUUAAUUAGCUAAUCCUGUAUCAAGAAUUAAUGAACAUAAGAUAAAUGUCAUAUUAAUUAGAUUUAGAUUUUUUUUUUCCAGUUUUGACGUAUAGAUAUAAAUAAUACUUCAAAAGCAUUGAAAUGUAAGAGCUAUUAAAAAAUCGUUUUUCAUUCAAAGCUAUAAUUAAUGAAAUGAAGAUAGAUAUCAUUGUUCAUUUAAAAAAAAUUAAAUUCAGAAAAAAGAAAGAGCGAAAGAAAUGAGCAGGUGAUGUUAAUAAAUAGUGAGAGAGUAUGUCGAGGACUAAAAUUUAUUAAAGAAAGCAGUGGUUCUAAUUCAAAUUUGAUCAAGUUAGAAUUAGUCAAUUAUGCAUCGAGAAUCAAAAGAAUGAAGAAUGGGAAUUCAAAAUUAGACUUAAAAAUUAUAAUAAAGUGAUUAGUUAAGAUUCAAUUAAGCUGAUUUACUAAAAAAUAUUGAAAAAUAAAAGACCACAAUAUUGCCAAAAAGACUAGGAAAUUAAGUAGGAAGGGGUGAUUGUUGCGGAAUACCUUGUAGUUAUUCCACAACCACGAAGACCAAUUGCUUUCAAGUAUUGCAAAUAUGCCAAUCCUACAUCAAUAAAAAGCAAAAUGUUACUUUAAAAUUAUUGUAGAAGACUGUGAUCAUUGCGAUAGAUCGGUAAUUUCAGUAGCUUACCUAGGCUUCUUAAAGAGCCGCUUGUUAGAUUGAGGUUCCAGGUUAGAUCCAACACUUGCAAGUUUCUCAAAUCUGCUAAUCCUGCUCAGUAAACAUUAAUUUUGAUAAAAACAAUAUUCAUAAAUAUUUUAAGAGAUUAACUUGCCUGGCAUGCAUUUCUGCUGGCCUCAAACAUAUUUACCGUGCUUGAUUCUGGAACCUUCAAUGUUAUUGGAACGAAGAUUCAGAGUGGUAAGUGAAGUUAGUGUAUUCAAAUAUGGUAAUAUGUUGUCGUUGAAGAAAUUACCACCAAGAUUUAAGAUCUUCAGCUGUUUCAAACUCCCAAAGCUGUCGUAAGGUGCAAAUGCAUAUGAAUUAUUAUCAUUAAUUAGUCACUGACAAAAUAAUUAUGAAUGAGUAAGAGAUACAUAUGCUUGUACCUUUAUUCUUAUAGAAGCCUUUAAACCAACUUAUCAGAUAAGUCAAGGCGCUGCAGUUCUUCAAAAGGGUGAAAACAUAAUGACAUAUUCAGAAGAGAAACUUCAUAAGAAUAAAAGAGUUAUAAUCAGAGUAGUUGAUUUUUGUUUUCUGAUUGAGUGAGAGUUGCCUCACCCGUAGGGUGGUGGCGUUGCACUUAACUCCCUCCCAGUCGUUGCAACAAUCAGACGACAUUCCAUCAUCAUCAAACCAUGAAGAAAGAAUUUCGUCAUCAAAUCCAACAUCACUGGCUGAUAUGAAGAAGCUCUUGAUUUCCAACAGAGCAAUCCUCUUCGUUUCCACGCAUGCUUUGUAUCCAUGUAACUGAAUCAAAGCCAUGCCAAUCCACAAUGACAACUUCAUCAAAAGCAUUUUCAUUUUUAAUAUUAACUGCUAGAGAAACACUCACAAGAUUGACCUGUCAAUUGUUGCUCUCUUGAAUUUUUUCUGGUUCCAUAGCAAAUAUAUGACUUAUAUAUAUACAAUGGAAAUUUUGCGCAGAAUGAAAAUUUUGCACAUUUUCACGUGCCAUGUCAAUGAGAAAACAUGCAUGGAUAGAAAAAAGUAGGUGAGAGAAUAUUACCUGUUGAUACAUGUUAUCUGCUUGUGACUUUAGUACCGUCCAAAGAAAUUGAAAUGUGAAAUAAUUGAAGAUGCAAAUUGGUUGAUUUCACGGGCCUGGCCUCUGGCAAAGUGAAAUGUUGGCCACGCACUAUACCAGUAAAGUGUCAACAUUGUAGCAUAAGGAAAUUGCGGCAUCUCAGCUAGAUUUUGAGAGUCACUAUUUCGUAUAAUCAGUCCCAUUUGUUCGUGGGGACUCACAUUCUGUCCUAUUGUGGACUCACAAAUAUUUAACAUGAUUUUGAUAUUUUGAUAACUACUUAAACCGCAUUUCCUUGAUAAUUAAAGAAAAAGAGAAGUGAAUGAAGCAAAAGAUACUGAUGACCCAUAAUUAUGUAAAUAAAUACAAGACUUUACAAUAGAUUAGACCACCAAUUUGUGCUUUUUCGUCCAAAAAUAAUGCAUCUGCUUUAACAAGAUACGAGUGAAUUGGGGCAUAUCUUUCUUUCAUAAUGUAAACUUGCCAAAAUACAUGUAAUCUGCUGGUGAAAUAAUUUUAUAAAACAAAGGCUUAAAGUUAAAGCUGACUAAAAAUAUUGGUGUACGUCAAGAACGCUACGGGGAAAAUUUAACCGCGAGCUGCAGUCUGCAGUCCCCAGCAAUCCGGGAAAAGGCUGGGUGGUGCGGGCCUGCCCACUAAUUUGGCAGGUCUGAUGGGAUUUAUAAAUAAAAAUAAUGUAAUUUUAUAUAUUUUUUAAAUAAAAAAUUUGUUGAUGCCGUUGUGAGAUCCAUUGGAUCCAAGGUCUUGAAGAGGAAAGAUCACUAUGGCUGCAAGGUCUGGAAGAGGCAAGUCCAAUAAAGCCAAGGCUGACAAGAAGAAGAAAGAAGAGAAAGGUUUCAAUUGUUAAGCCUUAUUAUUCACUUCUUUCAUUGGAAAGUGCUUUUUGUAAAGUGCUUUUGCAUUCUAGCUUCCAUAUGUUCAUUGAUUUCUUUUGUUGUGCAGUAGUACCCAGUGUUCUUGAUAUCACAAUCAUCACCCCAUAUGAAUCACAAGUUGUUCUCAAGGUAUACAUAUAUACUUAUCAUUAAUACUUUCUCGUUUUGCCCUCACCAGCUAUUAUUAGGAUAUUAUUUUGUAAAACUUUAUAAAUAUAAAUGAAUUAUUGAUUAAUCAUCUUUUUCUUGUUUGAUUGAAAUUUGCUCGAAGGGCAUCUCCACUGACAAGAUACUUGAUGUGAAAAAAUUGUUGGCUUCCAAUGUAGAAACUUGCCACCUCACAAAUUAUUCUCUCUCUCACGAGGUAUAUAUAUAUAUAUUUUAUUAUCUCUCUUUUUUUUAAUUAUAUAUGAUUAUGAAUAAUGAUAUUAAACACUAGAUACUAUUUUUUUCCACCUUAUUUUUAUUUGUUUAUUUCUUUAUGAUAUUAAUGCAUUAUUAGUUGUUUUUUUUUAUCAGGUCAAGGGGUAGAAAUUGAAUGAUAGAGUAGAGGUUGUUACUCUGAAGCCCUGUUUGCUCAGAAUGGUUAAAGGUAGGUGAAGCUUUCUCGUGUCAAAAUUUCUGAAUUAAAAAGUCUCAUGCAUGUGGAUGUGGGUCUCAUCUUAUUUGUUAUUUUUAAGAGUUCUGCUAUUUACCUCGGGUUAAACCCCGAAAGCUAAAACAAAACGACGUCGUUUCCUCUUCUUCAUGAAACGCUACCGUUUCACCCUAGCAAAAGCAAACGUUCCUCUCCUCUUCAUUUUCGUCUUCCUCUCCUGACUCCUCUUCGUUUCACCAGGGAACGACAUUCGUUUUGUUCGUUUUGUUUAAGAUCCAAAUCGAAGAAAUUUCCUUUUAAACAAAUCUGCCAUUUGUUUUCUCCUUUGAAAUUUCCUCUUAAAAAAUCUGCCAUUCGCGCAGGCAUGGUCACCGUCAACGUGGCAGGCAUCACGCGCAUCUCUCAUUGAACUCAUGAAGCGUCACAGUUAUCACAGCUGCAGGUAAUGCUUUGAUCUUUAGCUUUUCUAGGUUACGGUAAAAUGGGGGCAAUUUUGAUAGCUAGCAUCAUUUCCGUUUUAUUUAAUUUUCAGUUGAAAUAGAAUGUUAAGGAAAUAAGUGUGUUAAAUUGCAAUUGGUUUGUAAUUUGUGCUAAAUUGGUCUGCAAUUUGUGCUUGAGUUGGUUUGCAAUUUGUGCUUGAAUUGGUUUGCAUUUGUGCUGAAUUGGUCUGCAAUUUGUGCUGAAUUGGUCUGCAAUUUGUGCUGAAUUGGUCUGUAAUUUGUGCAGAAUUGGUCUGUAAUUUGUGCUUGAAUUGGUCUACAAUUUGUGCUUAAAUUGGUCUGGAAUCACCAAAUAGUCCAGAAUUGUUGAUGUAACUUUUACAACUCUUAUAAAUAAUAGAAAGCAAGUUAAUUAGAAGCACCAAAAUAGUUCAGAAUCACCAAAAUAGAAGCACUAAAAUAGUCCAAAAUUGUUGAUUUUGUGGACACACACAGACACACACACAGGGAGAGAGAGACACGCACACACACAGAGAGAGAGAGAGAGACACACACACACACACACACACUGACACACACACAGACACACACAUAAAGAGACACACAAACACAGACACACACACAGAUACACACAUACACACAGCUUUGUUCAGCCCACUUUAGUAGCAAAUUCAAAUACCAAGAAACUGAGUUGGCCUUAAAAACAUUGUUCUGGUUUUCUUUUCAUUAUUAACUGUAAUUGUAUCCCUUUUUGAGCUGUUUCUUUCCAACGGUCUAUGGCUUUACAAAUAAUGUCAUCCAACACAACCGAGAAUUGAAUCUCAUUGCAAAUGUGUAAUGGAUGCGGUGAUCAGAUGGAGCUGUUAACGUCACGCACAACAAAAAAUCCAAAUUGCAAAUUUUGGAUUUGUAGAGGAUGUAACAACUUUCAAUGGGCAGAAGAUCGUAAAUCUAGCGAAGAGAAAAUAGACUUGUUAGCGGAUGAGUUUAGGAAGUUGGCCUUGGAGAUUGAGUGUUUGUCCGUUAAAUUUCAACUAUUGCAUAAAGAACUUGAGCAUAUGCGAGAUCGUGAAGUGCAGAGGCGAUUGUUGGACGACGAAUUUCGAAAGAGAGAGGCACUACGAUAUGAUUUUAUUAAAUUAAUCAUGAUUGUUGUAUUAUGUUUUCUAUUCAAGUAUUGUUUUUAAGUUGUUUCAAUUUGUACUAUGUUACUGGAAAAGACUUGUAUUGUAGAAUUUGACCACUAUAUGUAAUAGCAUUUUCAUGUUAAAUAUAAGUUUUCGAUUGUUUGAAUUAAUUCAAAGUAUUCUGAAUUUAGAAUUUGACCCCAAGAAUACUUCUCAAAAUUAUACUAUGUCCCAACUCAUUCCAAUAUGUUCCAAAUAGAUCCAUUUUCAGAAUUUACGAAGUCUAAAAUUUAAAAAAUAUCGAAAUACACAUACACCAAGUUACAUUAGCUUUACAAUAAUACAUAAAACAUAAGCUAACUUUGUUGAUUCGUCAAGCCAAUUCCAAUGAACUUCGAUCAUGUGCUUGGUUCAUUAGUUGAAAACUCCCCUCAAUUGGCCUCCUCGAAAUUUUGUUGCGGAAAAUAUUGCAAGUUUGCGUGAUGGACUCCGCUGUAAUUCAUCCAAGACUGAUAGUAAGGGAGGAAAAAUGCAUGUUCUAGGGGUGCUUGCUGUGCUAGCUGUUAUACAACAAAAAAAAAAUUAUAUACAAAUUAUCAAACAUAUGACAAUGAAUGUAAAUAGCAAAAAAAAAAAAUAUUACCAUAGCCAUAUGGCUCUCUUGUGUUGGGAAUGUAGUAGCCACUUGAGAAGAAAAAUCAUGUAUCUCCGAGUCCUAGAAAUAUGGUUAACACACAUUUAAAGUAUAUAUUAAAUUUAUUUAAAAUGAAUGUAUUAAAUAUAAAUGCAAUCAACAUACAUUUAAAGUAUACAUUAAAUUAAUUUAAAAUGAAUGUAUUAAAGUAAUUACCUCUACAGUUGUGCUUGUCGAAGCAUUAUUCGACUUCUGUUUUGGCCUCUUAAAUUGCUUUUGCUUUCUUUGACUAGGUGGACGAUCUUUACGCCGAGUUACUACUGGAUCAUGUAUAAUUUUGAUACAGCUUCCUGAUCCACUAUAAAUGGUUGUAUCGUGACCGUCACUUCGAACAUUCAGAGAUACAUCCUUCAUUGCUUUCUCGAUCCAACCCAUAAUAUUUUUAUGGCUUUCUUCAUUUUUUGAAGUUACCUCAGCAACAUCAUAAAAAUCAGUGCACUCCUCUUUAUAUCGCUGAUGUUCAAUGCUCGAACUUCGUGCAUCAUAAUUGACUUUGACUUUACUGUAGAAUCUCCGCACAUCUUUCCUCCAUCUUCGUAGAAUAUACUUUUCAGGCAGUAAUUGUAUACGGUUACGUGACAACACUGCGAUGGCGUGUCUGCAAAGAAUGCCCUUAUAUUCAAAUAUUGAACACACACAAUGAACUUCACCCUCAUCUUUUGCAAAAAUGACUUGAAAAGUAUUUUCUCUACUAUUUUCAUCGUUUUCAAUAACUUCAUAUUCUAAUCCACCACAACUGAAAACCUCACAAUAUAUCUUAUUCACCAGCUCUUGCUGAAAUUCUUGAAACUUGGAAAUAGUGUACACUUCUUCAACUUGCUUCUCCAUUGCAAAACUGGUACGACAUGGCAUCCGUUGGCUAAAACACCUAACAUCCGCUUGCCAUUCUUUCUCAAUUUUACUUUCCAUUGCUUUCUCAUAUUUCUCCACAAAUUGCUUCAAAGUUGUUUUCGAGUUAACAUACCCAUCAAAGAAAGCAUUCAUACUUUCACUACGCUGAGUGGUUGGCAUUCCAGCCCAAAAAGAAAUUUUUACGAAACAUGGAACCCAACGAUUUCUUUCCUCAUAUAAACCAUUUAACCACUGAUUACUAAGAUCAUAUUUAUCUAACAUGUCAUGCCAAGCUUUCUCGAAUUCAACAGGAGUAUAUGAAUCAUAAACAAUAGAAUGUAAUGAAACUCUAAUGGCAUGAUAUUCAACAUACCUUCCUAACUUCUCAGGCACCUUUUUCAGUAUAUGCCAUAAACACCAUCGGUGCCUAGUGUUUGGAAAAACAAUCUCAAUCGCAUUUUUCAUCUCUUUGUCUUGAUCUGUAAUGAUUCCAAGGGGAGGAGAGCCAGACAUGCAUGAUAGCCAUGUGUCAAAUAUCCACGAAAAUGUCUCCGUGUCCUCAUGCGAAAUCAACCCACAUCCUAACAAAAUUGAUUGACCAUGAUGAUUAAUUCCUACAAAAGGAGCAAAUGACAUGUCAUACUUGUUUGUAAGGUAUGUGGUAUCAAAUGUGACCAUAUCUCCAAAGUUUUUAUAGGCUGCCUUACUCCUUGGAUCGGCCCAAUAUACAUUUUUUAACCGGCCCUCCUUAUUUAGGUCAAGACUGAAGAAAAACCCAUCAUUUUCUGUUUGCAUUUUCUUAAAAUAUCUCUGAAUUGCAACAACAUCCCCUUCUCCGAGCCUUAAUCGCCUCACCUUGUCAAUAUGAUUUCUAGCAUCUUUUUCUAAGAAUGAGACAUUUUCAAAGCCACCAGCCUCAACAACAAUCGACUUAAAACUUUGAGCCAUUUUAAUUCCAGCUUCGUCAUUUAUUUCAAGCUGCUUUUUAACAAAAGGACUAAUGGUACGGUUGCAUCGAUAAUACCUACUCUUGCUCGGACUCACGGCACGGUUGUGUUCAAGGAUCAUAUUUCCAAUUACCCAUUUUCUACUAACAAAAUCCAAACGUCCUCCAAGUUUAGCAUUGCAUUCAAUUUUUUGGUUUGGUUGAAGCCGCAAAACAUUAGUGCUUUUGGCUUUUGAAUUGCCAUUUCGCCCACAAGUAAAUGUCACAUAUCUCAAACUCCCAUCAUCCCCUUUUCUACAAGAUCUCCACAUCACUGGAAACCCCUCUUAUAGGCCAUAAGCCUUAUAAUAUUCAAACAUUUCAUCAGAACUAUUAAAAGACAUCCCAACUGCUGGCUCAACAACUUUUUCCACCACCAAUUCCUCAUUAUUUUCUUCCAAAUCAGCCCCCUGCAAAUCCUGCAAUUCUUUAACUUCAUCAACCUCCUCCACUUACUUCAAAUUAUCCAUUAACUGCUGCAAAUUAAAACAAUUCAAUAUAUUAUUAUUUAUUUUUCGUGAAUUCAUUAAAUUUAGAAUAAAAAAAUUAAAAACAAAAUGAAACAACUACUGAAGAUUCAAAUUUAAACAAUUCAAGCUUGUUGUAAAAGCAUCGCAAUUGGAAACUGAAAAUGUCAAAUAACGGCAAGCCGCAAAACAUUAGCUAAUAGAAGUCCGUAGGCAUAAUUAAUACUCAAAUAACUUCAAAGUGUGGUUGAGCCAAACUAAGUUUAACUUAUAGCUAGCUCAAGCGAAAAUAUUGUAGGUCUUACAUGCGCAUGAGUGAAUUCCAACAAAAACAAGUUCAUGACUUACCACAAACUCAAACGUUAAUUCAUGUUGAUGCUAUCUCCAACUUAUCUAUUUAGGUUACGAACUAUAUUCUCAGCAGGGGUUAAAUUAUCUUCUCGAUUGAAUAUAAAGAAGAGAACAUUUGUAUACUCAAAUAUCUUCGUAAUCGAAAAUGAGAUAGAAAUUCGAAAAAAAAGUUUAAUACAAACAUGACAACAAAAAUGAGUCAAAAAUUCGUAAUCGAAACUGAAACUUCGAAAAUUUGAAGAUUCGAAAACAAAAUGCUGCCAAAAGAAAACAGUACCUUAGCUUGUGCAAAGCCACGUAUAAUCGAAACUGGAAUCUGUAAAUGCCGAAACUUAGUCUUAUGUCAGAAAAAUUUAACAGUUGCUGUUAAUGCCGAUGAGGUUAGGAAUCAUGGACAAUGUCGAGACUCUAUCUUGUUCAAGCUUCUGCUUUUGCCUUGUUUGAGCCAAAUCUUAUCACCUUCGAGGAAUAUAAGAGCUUAAAGAUUCUGCAUUUCACUCGGGUGUGGUGAAUCGAAGAGGAAGAGCUUAAAGAUUUUGUGUUUUUCUCAGUUCAUAAAGUAGCUGUUUCUUUGCGUUUUUUCUGCUUUAGUUGGUUUUGUUUUUACUAGGCUGAAACAACUACGUUUCAUGGAAGCAAAAAGGAAAAAAAAAAGAAACCAAAACUGCAUCGUUUUGGUUUUAUUCGGGGUUUGACGCGGGGAAAGUAGCAUUUUCCUAUUUUUAAUUGUUAACAUUUAGAUCUUUUUAGUUCUACAUCCAUAGCCAAACUAUUUUAAGUAAACUAUAUUCAUUUUAUUGUAUGUUUUUUAAGAAUUUUUUAAUUCGAAAUAAUUUUUUUAAUAUUGUGGAAAAAGACAGGUUAAAGUAAAAAAAUUAUUGACUAAAUAAAUAAAUAAAUGACAUUAUUUUAUUUUUUAACAUUAAAAAAAAACCAAUUUGAUGCAGUCCACUUAGUCCUGCACACUUGGAACGUUACCAUGCUUUUUAGUGCUGUACAUUUUGGACUCAACUGUCCUUGUCAUUUCAAGUAAAAGUUGAAGCCGUCUCAAAAGUAAAAUAAUAGGGUCCGCCUAAGUUACAUUUAACGUAACUUACGGCUGACCCGCAAAAUAUCAUUAAUCCCCCUAUACUCUAUGUUAUUUACAAUAUAUUUAUAAGUAUUAUAAAACUUUCUGUAUUGUAAAAUUUCGUUGAACCUCUUGUACUCUGUUUUAUUUUAAUGAAACUCUUGGAGUACGAAUUUGCCCCCUAUAAUUUUAAAUUCCCAAAAUACCCUACAGUUAAUUAAAAAUAUAAUAAUAAUUAAAUAAAUUAUAAUUAUAAUAAUUAUUUUAUUAUAAUUAUAAUAAUUAUUUUAUUAUAAUUAUAAUUUUUUAAUGGAUUAUUAUUAUUAUUAUUAACAAGAAUAAAAAGUAUUAUAACUAAUUAAUUUUUAGUUAAAAUGUUAAUAAUAACAUUAACAAUAACUAUUAUUGAUAAUUAAUUUUUGAAUAAUAAUAACAGUAACAAUAACAAUAAUUAAAAUACAAAAGAAUAAUUAUGAUAAAAAUUAAUGAAGGAUUUUAUACUAAUUUGUUACAAUUUAAUUUAUUCUGAUUUUGAUUUUAAGACAAAGUAAACAAAUAAAUGGUAAUACAGCUCAUUCUAAUUAUGAUUCCUGCCGUUCAAGUAAAUAAAUUAUUAUGAUUCCAAUUCUUUAUUUGGAUUCUAGAUAUGUCGAUUCUAACUUAUUAUGUUUUCAGUAAAUUUUGAUUUAUGUUUAGUGAAUGCACUAUAAAAUUCAUAAUACUUAUAAAAAAUUGUAAAUAAUAUAGAGUGGUCUAAUUGAAUAUAAAGUGAUUUACAAUUUUAUAGUGCAUUCACUAAAAAUGAAUCGAAAUUAGUUGGAAACAUAAUGAGUUAAAAUUGGAUUAGCUAGAAUUAAAAUGAAAAAUUGAAAUCAGAAUAAUUUAUUUACUUGAACUGCAUGAAUCCUAAUUAGAAUAAACUGUAUUACCAUUUAUGUGUUUACUUUGUCUUAGAAUAAAUAUCGAAAUGAGUUAAAUUGUAACAAAUUACUAUAAAAUUCUUAAUUAAUUUUAUUAUAAUUAUUACUUUGUAUUUUAAUUAUUGUUAUUGUUAUUAUUCGUCAAAAAUUAAUUAUUAAUAGUAAUUAUUGUUAAUUAUUAUUAUUGAUAUUUUAACUAAAAAUUAUUAUUAAUUAUUGUUAAUAGAUUAAUUAAUUAUAAUACUUUUUAUUGUUGUUGUUAAUAAUAAUAAUAAUCCAUUUAAAAAUUAUAAUUUUAUUUAUAAUUAUAAUAAAAUAAUUAUUAUAAUUAUAAUUUAUUUAAUAAGUAUUAUAUUUUUAAUUAAAUGUAGGGUAUUUUGAGAACUUAAAAUUAUAGGGGGCAAAUUCAUACUCCAAGAGUUUCAUUAAAAUAAAACAGAGUACAAGAGGUUCAACGAAAUUUUACAAUACAGAAAAUUUUAUAAUAUUUAUAAAUAAAUUGUAAAUAAUAUAGAGUAUAGAGGGAUUAAUGAUAUUUUGCGAGUGUUACGUUAAAUGUAACUGAUCCAAAAUAAUAAUGUGCUUUUAAGUAACUGGCCUAAACUUUAGAAAUUUCAGAAGUUACAGUAUACGCAGGUCACAUCUAGGACCAUUAUUAGUUUAAUCAUUAAAUGACAAAAUUCUUGAGGGGGUACUUAAAAAUGCAAGCAUCUCGUCCCUUGCCUGCUUCAUAGAUGCUGUUACUCAUUCCCCCUCAUCUCACUUGUGCAAACCAAAGAGAAAAGAAAGAUUAUUAUUUUCCACUUAUUACACAAAAAACAAUAAUUCCUUUUUAUUGCUCCAUGUUUAUUAUUUUAUUCUAUUUCUCCACUCCAGAAUCUCUCUUUCUCAAUUAAAUUUAUGAUAUAGAUAUUAAAGAUUUGCUUAAAUCAGAAAACUUGUUCAUAUUUCUGGUCAAUAUAAUACAUCUCCUGAAAGGUAAAAAUAGGGAAAAAAAAAACAAGAAUGAUGAAUUUUUUUUUGGUUUUGACUGUUUAAGGCAAUAAAGAAAUAUUUUGAAAGGGUCGGAGAUUACAAUGAAUCUAUACACUUGUGGAAAAUAAGUGCAACUUGAGAGCAUUUUGUUUUUGUUCCACUAUAUAUUUUUAUACAACUGCUGCCUUAGAUUGGGUGCAUCACUUCAUUAUAUAAUCAGUAAAAAUUAAUAAUAUAAAUGGAAUCAUUCUCUAUUACAAUUAUUCGACUUCAUGAAGUAACAACUGAUGUUUUUUACCACAUUGUCAAAAGAGUUCAACUUUUAUUUGAGAAUACACCAUAUAAAAGAAGAAAAGAAUAAAACAAGAGUACACCAUAGAAAAGAAAAAAAUAAAACAAAUUUUAGAAUUAGUAGAUUAGAAUUGUUAUAAGAAAGAGUUGUCCCUAUAACUUCAAUAAGUUAGCAAUGUUUCUGAAGUUUGUUUUACUAGCCUUACCAAACUUUUUCUAGUUGAUAUUAAAAUUAAAAAAAAAAAAAUUUUUCUAGUCAAACAUACUUAAUUGAACAGUUAAUUCAACAUGAAAACGAUUUGUCGCUUUAUGAUCCUAAUUUUCAACCAGCCGUAAAUUUUAAUCUAUUAAAAAAAUAUUAGUUGGUAGAAAUGUAAACAGAAGCAAGAAGGUUAUAAUUAGUAAUUUUAUCAUGAAUAAUUAAUAUGAUUAGAGUUUAAUAAAAUUAUAUGUAAAAACUUAUUUAAAGAGCAAAAAUUUUAUUUUUUAUCAUUUUUUAGUACUUAUAAUUAUAAUUUAAUCCAGAUGUAUUUUAAUUAUAAAAAUUAUUUUGAAAAAUAAGUUUGAGGAAUAGUUUAGUGCUUAAAAAUUAUUUUCUACUUAUAAUUAAGUUAAUAUUUAAUAGAAAGAACUAAAAUAAUAAAAGAAAAAAAACUUUGCCCGGCAAUUCCUUGUUAUUUACAUUUUUGGCACUGUCCCUUGCAGAGGACUACACCGAGGAAUCUCAGGCCGUGGCACACGUGCGGCGGCUUCUCGACAUCGUCGCGUGCACCACACGGUUCUCCAAGUCCAGAAACUCCCGAUUGCCGCCAUCGUCAGAGUCAUGUGCCAAAAAGAACGGCAGUAGGCCCCACCAGCCUUCACCAAACUCUGCCGCUCUGUCUGAUGGAGCAGCAACGGCAGCAGCAGAUAACCGAAGCGGGCCCCGCGCCACGUCAUCGCCAGUUUCAUCGGCGGUUUCGCCGAGUCUGGACAUGGCGGCCAUUCACCCGACGCCGAAACUCUCCGAGUUUUAUGACUUCUUCUCUUUCUCUCACCUCACUCCCCCCAUCUUAAGUAAGCCUAAUGUUCAUUUAUUUAUUUGUCUUCGUUUCUUACAUGGUUGAUCAAAAAAAAAAAAAAAGAAAAGAAAGAGGAAAAUGAUAUAAAUAUAUGUGAUUUAUUUGAAUAUGAAAUUUGUUUAUUGAUUUUGAUUUUUAAUAAUUUUGAUUUUGAAGAUUUGAGAAAAUGUGAACGCAAAGAAGGAGAGAAGCGCGACGGUGAUUAUUUUGAAAUUCAGGUGCCAUUUAAUAUAAAGUUCUGAUUGUUGUUGUUUGUUGUUUAUGGACUAAUUAAUUGUAGAGUUAUUCAACUCAUUAUUUUUGCUGAUGAAUUGGCCAAUGAGUGUUAAAGAUUUAAUAAUCAUUGUCUGCUAAUUAAUAAGAAUGCAUGGAUUAUUUUCAUGUCUUUGUAAGUAAUGUGAGUAUUUGAAAGCGCGGGAAACUGUAUUUUGUGCUUACAGAUAAAAAUCUGCAAUGGAAAGCUUAUACAAGUAGUUGCAUCAGUAAAGGGGUACUAUACUUUGGGAAAGCAGUUUUUCCAAAGCAACUCCCUGGUGGAUCUUCUGCAAAAUCUCCGUCGAGCUUUUGCCAAUGUGGGUACUCAAUAGUUGAAUCUACAGAUUAUUUUUUCCUUUUUUAUCUGAAUGCAUCUUUUUUUCCUCUGUAAAUUCAAUUAGCUUACCCAUCAAUUGUUUUGUUAAUAAUUAUGGUCAUUAUUCGUGAUGCAGGCAUAUGAAUCCCUAAUGAAAGCUUUUGUUGAACAUAAUAAGGUAACAAUUUCUGUGCUGACAUAGUUUAUUACCAAUUCAAAUGUGAUUUUAACUUGAUUUUACUGAUAUAGUAUAUUCAUUAUCCUUCUUCAGUUUGGUAAUCUUCCCUAUGGAUUUCGAGCUAAUACAUGGCUUGUACCUCCUUCUGUUGCUGAGUCUCCAUCAAAUUUCCCAUGCCUACCGGCAGAAGAUGAGAAUUGGGGUGGCAAUGGCGGAGGCCAGGGAAGAGAUGGAGAACAUGAUUUACGACCAUGGGCGACGGAAUUUGCUAUACUGGCUAGGCUUCCUUGCAAAACUAAAGAGGAGAGGGUGGUUAGAGAUCGGAAGGCCUUUUUGCUUCAUAGCCAGUUUGUUGAUGUCUCAAUUUUUAAAGCUGUUGGAGCAAUACGCUGUCUCAUUGAUUCAAAUUUACACACUCAAGAUACAAUCAAUGUCCAAAAGGGGGCAAUCUUGCAUGAAGAUCGUGUGGGAGACUUGUCCAUUACGGUAAAACGUGAUACAGUAGAUGCAAGCUUGAAGUCUGAGGUUACUAUUAAAGGAAAUCAGUUAUCUGGUAUGUCUACUGCAUAAGUUGCUCAAAGGAAUUUACUAAAAGGUGUUACUGCAGAUGAGAGUGUAGUUGUUCACGUAAGUCGAUUUCUCCUUUACUUCUUAUGCUUACGUUCACAGACCACACACAUAAGAGACAUUCAUCAAAGCUGAAAUUACUUACGUGGGCGGAAUAAUAUAGCUCUACCUUUGUCAGGGAGUGAUUUUUCUGUCGGAUUAAGAUGUUACACUCUUUAUCUGAUAUCUAGCAUUUGAUGAUGGCCUAAAAUACCCAUCCUCUUCAUUCUCUCUUUCUACACAUUUAUGAAUGCACAAGAAAGUCAAUUUUAGGUUCUUUCCUAAGAAUCACUACUCGUUACUAACCUUAUAUAUCUGGUUUAGCUUCAUGAAUCUUAUGUUGUCAUUCUGUUUGGUGACUCCCUAUUCUGUUGAAAUCACUUGAUAGUAGGUCUUUCUACCCAUUUUAUCCAUAUCCCUCUGAUUUUCUACUUGUAGUUUGCUCCAACUUAAUGUCAUCAACCCUUUUUGGGGAAGCCUAUUAACCUUGGUUGGGCAUGCUUGUAUUAUAUCAACUAGUGAUACAAUUGCUAAAGUUUUCAGCAUGGUAGAUCUUGAAAUAAAAUUUUCUUGAAAUAUCUAGAUUUAUCUUCCUUUUCUUUUUCCUUUUCUUUUAUUUUAGUUUCAAAGAUUUUGUUAUAAAGAGAACUGAAACAAUAUAGUUUUUGGCAGGAUACCUCCUCAUUGGGUACCGUCAUUGUAAGACACUGUGGAUACACCGCCGUAGUAAAGGUUGUUGGUGAUGUGACGGAGAAGUUUGGCACACAAGAUAUUGAAAUUGAAGAUCAACCUGAUGGAGGAGCUAAUUCUCUUAAUAUUAACAGGUCUGAAAUUGUAAAACAAUGCUUCCUCUGUCGAUUCCUCUUAGCACACAAAGACUAGGAAAUCUACAGAUGGAGAAUGGCUGUAAGAUAUGAAAAAUUAUCUUUCAACCACUAACCGUUUUAAGCUAUUCUGCAAGAUAUCUUAGAAAUGCUAACUGGUAUGAGCUUCUUUGCUUAGUGUCUAUCACAGUUGAAUUCAUGAUGCAGAGCAUUGUUAUUCUCCUUAUUUUUACCAGAUAGAACAGGAUUGAAAUGCUGGUGUUGGGGAUUCUUAAGAAAGGAUAGCACCUGCUCCUUUUUCUUCCUGUUUAGAUGGGAUCUAAUCAGUAGGUGUCUGAACUCUUAAGGGGAGUUGAUGUCAGAUUUCUAAACCAGGUUUUCUUCAAGUGUUAAGUUUAUGAAUAGGCCAAAGAAAAGAAAGCUGAUAUCUAGUUAGGGAUAUGUACUCCUCUUUCAGCAUCCUAUGGACCAGAAAAUGGCUUUUCCUCCAUUAAAAUAUGUGUGAGAUUCUUCACUGUAUGGGGAUGCUUCACCUCUGCAUAGUUGUAGACCACCUAAAAAAUAACGAGUGGUUGCAGGAAACAUUAAGUCAUGGCUUUCACAAUAAUGGUUGAGUGUUUAUAGUUAUGUGCCUUGACAUUGGUUUGUAAUUGUUAUAUUAACAAAAUAACCAGCAGACAUCAUUGAUGAUGUUCAAAUAAUGGAUAAAGGAAAGUAUAAUUACAGUGGAUGCUCAGUUGCUGAAAUAGGUCAUCAGCUUUUUGGAUUGUGCUAUUUCAGAAAGUAUUUAGACCUUCUUUGGUGGAUUCUGCCUUUGUUUCAUAUACUCUUAUAUCUUUCUCCAUUUAAGUUGUUCUGACAGGGUAAACUAUUUAUUGCAGCUUAAGGCUUGUACUUCAGAAGUCUUUCAGUGCUGAAUCAGCUAGAGGAGACCAGUCACCUCUGUGCAAUUUGGAUAAUUCAGAAGCUCUUAGAAGUCUUGUACGAAGUGUUAUUAAACAGAGUUUAGCAAAGCUAGAGCUGGAGCCAACUGCGUCAGAAAGAUCUAUUAGAUGGGAACUUGGUUCUUGUUGGGUGCAACAUCUACAAAAGCAGGAAACCCCAACAGAUACCAAGUCAACGAGGUCUAGGGAUGAUAUUGAGACUGAACAUGCUGUCAAAGGUCUUGGGAAGCAAUUUAAAUUUUUGAAGAAGAGGGAGAACAGACCUAACCUUGUUGGUAGCAAUAAUGAGGCUAACGAAGAUGACAAUGGACCGUGCAGCAUGAAUGUGGGAACUAAUGGCAGACAGCAAAGCAAUGGCGAGCUCAAUUGUGAGAUGGAAUUGAAAAAACUAAUUUCUGAAGAAUCCUUCUUGCGAUUGAAAGAAACUGGCACUGGCCUUCAUUCAAAGGUUUCAAAAUCUCAAAUUUUUUUUGCAUUUCAACUGUAAAGUUUGCUACUUUUUGUGUUUUCAUUAUGCUAAAUUUGGUUUGUUUUAUUUUCAUAUGGAAUGACUGGUAAAAUUAAUUUCUUGUGCAGGCAGUGGAUGAGCUUAUGAAAAUGGCAUACAAAUAUUAUGACGACAUUGCUUUACCAAAGCUGGUACUAUUUAAUUUAUUUAGGGCCUUUGUUGCAGCCAAUUUAGACGUGUGGGGAUGGUUUAUGGACUAAUUUGCAUUCUUUAUUAGGUAACAGACUUUGGAUCACUUGAACUUUCUCCGGUUGAUGGCCUCACACUGACAGACUUUAUGCAUUUAAGGGGACUACAAAUGCGCUCUUUAGGUCGCGUGGUGAGGAAUUUCUCCCUCUCUUUCUCUCUCAGACAUGCAACAUAUUCACCCGUGGAAAUCGGAAUAAACAAAUGUUGUCUUUCUUUAUGUAAACAAAGCCCCUAAGUUAUCUUUCUAUAUGCAAACAAUCUCCCCAAGUCUUCCUGGAUUGAAUUAUCAAUGUUCCUUUUUGAAAAUUGUACUACAUGAUAGAAUUUUUGACAUGGUGACCUUUUCCAAGAUAUUGAAUUAUUGUCGUCUUUAGAUAUUACUGUAUGUUGUAUGACAUACAAUAUUUUGAGAAAUUGACAUGCUAAUACUUGAAAGCCUGGUAUUCUUCUUCUGUUGGUUCUAAUCCCAUUUACAAAUUCAGGUUGAACUUGCAGAGAAGCUUCCUCACAUACAAUCACUUUGUAUUCAUGAGAUGGUUACUCGAGCGUUCAAGCAUGUACUUAAAGGAGUCAUCGCAUCUGUUGACUAUUUAUCAGACCUAUCUGCAGCUAUAGCUUCUUCCCUAAAUUUCUUAUUUGGCUGUUGUGAGAUGGAAGAUGACCAAAGCUUGAAUGACGAUCAUAUCCUCAGAUUGCAGUGGCUACGAACAUUUCUUGGCAGAAGAUUUGGUUGGUCCCUGAAAGACGAGUUUCAGCAUUUGAGAAAGAUUUCAAUUCUACGUGGGCUUUGCCAUAAGGUAAGGUACUGUCUUUUCGGUUCCUUUGGCAGUGGAUUAUUUUCAAAGCUUGAAUUUUGCUUGUAAACUUUACCCAGGUUGGGUUGGAGUUGGUUCCAAGAGAUUAUGAUAUGGAAUGCCCAAACCCAUUCACGAGAGAUGAUAUUGUCAGCAUGGUUCCUGUGUGCAAGGUGAGACUAUGGGGAUCUUUCAGUUUUCUAUUAUUGCCUUCAACACAUUCAAUUGACUCUUAAGUAAGUAGCACUGCUUGAUUUACCAGAGCAACUUUGUGAUUUUCAUUCUUUAACUGAUUAAGGUUUAUUUAUUCAUAAAUUAAAUUGGAAGUUUGAAAAAAUGUGACCUUUGUAUUGAAUCUGCUUCGAACGAAUGCAGUUUUUAUGUACCUACUUUAGCUUUUGUUUGUCUUUUAUUGGCUCUAGCUCCUGAUCAUACCAUACCAUUGGCAGAUAUGUAAAUCGUGCCUUAUUCCUUUUGCAUUUUACUUGUGGACUUUCACAUCCAAACACGGCUGCAACAUACAUAAAUGUGGCUAUGAUGGAAGCGGGCAUGGGAAAUGUUCAUCUUUCUCUUAGAUAUUUGCAUGAAGCCCUUAAAUGCAACCAAAGACUAUUAGGAGGUGACCAUAUACAGGUUUCUCUCUCUCUAUUUACGCAUGUAUACACACUCUUUAGAAUUAUAAAUCUUUCUGUAAACUCAGAAUUUUGUUUGAUUUCUUCACGUGACAGACAGCUGCAAGUUAUCAUGCCAUAGCCAUAGCUCUUUCUUUGAUGGAGGCAUAUUCACUAAGUGUGCAACAUGAGCAAACUACACUUAAGAUUCUCCAAGCAAAGCUUGGACUAGAAGAUCUGCGUACUCAGGUAACUACAUGUAGUCAUAUUUUAAUUGGUUCUGUUGUGCAAUUUGGCUAGUUGGCUUUUCUCUUGUCAAUCUUUUACAGGUGAUAUUAUGAUAUAAAACAAAUUGUAUUGGAGGCAUAUUUUUGGUGUCAAAUAUGGAUAUGACUCAUUCAUUAAUCGUAUCGAAAUAUCAAAAUACGGAUAUGACCCGUUUAUUAAUCGUGUUGACUUGUUUAAUAUUAAAUACAAACAAAUUAAAAAUUAAUUUUAAAAUAACAAAUGUGUCAAAAAAUUGAAUUAUAAAUAAGUUAAAAUGACAUAAGUAUGACAUGAAUAAGUUUAUAACAUAAUGUGAGUAUGACAUGAGUCAUUAAUUUAGUGUUUAGUAUAUAUUUUAGUUUUUUUUUCCAAUAAUAUUAACACAUAAUAAUUGAUAUUUGUGCUAUAAACGUAUAAUCAUAUUGAGAUGGUCCAAAACAGAUACGACAUGGUUAUUUAUCGUGUUGUGUCAACUUAUUUAUUAUUCGUGUCAAUCGUGUUGUAAUCCAUUUUCCCACCUCUAAUCUUAACUGUCGUAAGAGAAUUUCUCAAGUUCCAUAUUAUUGAUGGGAAGAGAUUUUUGUUAUUUUGUUGUAUUUUUUUUCGUUUUACAGGAUGCUGCAUGGCUGGAGUAUUUUGAAUCAAAAGCUCUAGAGCAGCAAGAAGCGGCACGGAAUGGAACUCCAAAGCCAGAUGCGUCCAUUGCGAGUAAAGGUCACCUUAGGUAUUAACAGGGUAUUCCCACAUUACUUGUUUCUAAAUUGUUGAUUAUUUCUUGUGGCACCAAGACCUAUAAUGAUCGCUUUUUGCAGUGUAUCAGAUCUCCUGGAUUACAUUAGUCCUGGUCAAGAUUCUAAAAGAAGCGAAGCACAUAGGAAACAACGACGUGCAAAGGUAGUAUAUACUUAGUGCCUGUUUAGUAUGACUUAUCUAAUAAUCAUAAAUUUUUAUUUAAUCCCAUAAGCUGUUAUCAAUUUUUUUUUUUUUUGUUUAACUGUUUUUUUCGUAGAGCUCUUGAAAAUUAAAUAAGUUAUUUUGCCUCUACUACCAAAAGCUCAAAUUUUGUGCUUUUGAGAGUAGAGGUUAAAAAGUUUUUUUUAAAUGUUAAAAUAUCUAAAAUAUUUUCUACUUAUUUGACAAUCUUAUUUUAUUCUUUUCAAAACAUAACUUUAAAAAAUUUGCUUAUUAAAGUAAUUUUAUAAUUUUUAAUAAAAGCUCUUAUUGACAACCAAACAACACAAAUUUUUUGGGUAAAAACUUUACUUAUAAAAUCUUUACUAACAAAAGCUCUACUCAGAUAAGAUCUAUUUGAAAAGCUAUGUCAAAUGAAGCAUUAAGCCUGCUACUGUUCUCUGUUCCUUUUUUCUUGUGAUGUCAUCUGAAUGGAUUCUUAAACUAAUUGUAGUUAGGAUUUGGUAUUUUAGAGUACACUCUGCUGGCUGAUUACACGAGUAAACUUGUUGUCCAUGCAAAAUGCAACUAUAUAUCAGCAGGAUAAUAGUUCUACUUUUCUGAGUGAACUCUGAAGGCACCAAUUAUAACAUCCAUUUCUAGCAUAGAAUCCCCCGCCCAACAAAAAGAAAUCUAACAUGCUUUUACAGAUCGUAGACAUGACUGAAACUUUAGAAGUUUCUGAUCUAUUGAUGGCCAUAGAUUGGGCCAGCUGAUAGUUAGUAGGCAAUGAUGGAGGGUUGCUUGGUCAAGCUGCUAGUUCUUUGGAAAUUCAGAGAUGAUGAGCAGAACGAGUGAUAGUUUUUGUUUUCCCCCGUAAUCUUGAACAGAGUGGGAAGAAAUAGGGGUGGCAAAACGAAUAAACGAAUCGAAUUCGAAUUGAAUCGUAAACGAAUUGGGUCAAAAUUCUAUGGAUUCGGAUUCGAUUCGUUUAUUAAACGAAUUGAAAUUUCAGGAUUCGGAUUCGAUUCGUUUAUUAAACGAAUAUUCGGUUCGAUUCGUUUAAUUCGUUUAAUAGAAUUGAUAAACGAAUCGAAUCGAAUCGAAUCCAGAUUCGUUUAUUAUUCGUUUAUCCUUUACGAAUCCAUAACGAAUCGAAUCAAAUUAGGAUUCGUUUACAAUUUGUUUAGAAAAUAUAAUUAAUAAACAAAAUUAAGUAAAAAAAACAAAUUUAAUAUCCCACAACAAAAUACAAAUAAUUCAAAUUAUAUUAUACAGUCAUCCAAAUACCAAAUACCAAAUCCUUAAUAUUACAAAUAACAAUAAUUCAAAUUCAAAUUAUAAAGAAAUGUAAUUUCUUUAAUUCUCUUCAUUUGUCUUUGUCACCUUGAAAACAAAAAUCCUACACCAAAAAGUAAAUAAAGUGUUAUUAACAUGCUGCAAUAUUGAUAAUAGUCAUUGUAAAAUUUCAAAAAUCAAAUAUAUAGCAAAUUUGUAGCAUUUUCAAGGAAAUAAUAAUUGAACAAGAUAAAAACUUUACCUAACAAUAUUUCAAAAAUCAAAUCUAUUCAUCAUGUAUGCCAAAUUCUAACCCAGCAAUAUUCCUAAUGCACAAUAUUCCAAUACACAAAAUAUUAACAAUACAACAUAAUAAAUUAUAAAUUCUAAUACUAAAAAAAAAUUAAUCCAAUAUUUGUGGGGGCUUAUUCCUUAUCCUACAGAUAAUUUUUAACACCAUAAUCGAUUUAUACAUAAUUUCAUAAUAUUUUCCGAACAAUACAAAACAUUUUCUAAACCAUAAUUUCAUAAUAUUCUACAAUACAAAAUUUCUCAAUAAUUCAACCAUAAUCUCAUGAUAUUACCCUGAGUUGGUGAUGGCUUGUUGAUUCGGGUCGCUUGGGAAUUAAAUAAGCACUUAAACCUACCUUGCAUCUUCCUGAUUGCUGUUACGAGUCAAAGAAAAAUGAGAACAGAACUGAAACUUGGCAUAAUUAAUGCUCAAAUAAAUUACAACAUGCCCUGUCAAAUGUGGAUAAAACACAUAAACUGUGAGCAAAAGGUUUUUUUUUUUUUUUUUUUUGGCAUUGUCUUGCAGAAAGCAGCCGGCCUGGGCAAAUCAUCCAUCUGACUCCGAGAGGUCUACAUCAAUAUAUAUUAUGUCAAAGGAGGUGUUAUACACUUAUAAAAUCUAAAUAAGAACAUACUGUAUAUAAUUAAUAGCAUUAAAACCUUGAUUAUGGAUUGAUUUCCUAGAGAACAACUUAAUUACUGCUUCGUACUGCGCAAAAGAAAAAUAUAUUCAUUUAUAUCUCUUGGUCCAAGAUGCAGCUGGUUAAUUAGCACUUUACGCAGAGCCACAGAAGCUGCUUCAAAAAUGGAUAGCUCGUUGCAGCUUCUCUGUUGGGUUCAUCGUCUAUGUUACUUAAAAUCAAAGUUACUACAAAAAGAUUAAAAGCGAUCUUCCUAAACGAGGAACUCACUCGGAACCUCUGGUUUAUCUUUUCCGUCACUGUUUCUACAAUACAAAAUUUCUCAAUAAUUCAACCAUAAUCUCAUGAUAUUACCCUGAGUUGGUGAUGGCUUGUUGAUUCGGGUCGCGCUCGCCUGGGUUUGCUGCUGCUGCACCGCCGCACGAGUUAGCUACUGCUGUGGGUUCGAGUGGCUGCGUCCCUCAAGUUCAAUCGAUGAUAGAUGAACGAUGGUGGUUGUAAUCGUCGGUUCGCUGUGAGUUAAUGACAGUGGCUACCGGCGGCUGUUUUUGUUGCUUGAUUGCUUCACUUGGUAUGGGUGGGUGAGUGUGAUUCGUGUGAGAGAGGUAGACAGCAACGAGACUACGAGAGCGGCUGAGUGAGGGGAGAAUUUUUAGGGAUUUAGCUUUAGGUUUCCGCUACUUUGUUUUUUUUUUUUUGUUAUUUACUUAAAUUUACAAUAUUAACCUUCAAAUUUUAAAAAGUUUUCAAAUAAAUUUAAGAAUAAAAAAGUAAUUUAAUUAAAUGAAUAAUAAAUGAAUUUUAACGAAUCGACCCGUAUUCGAUUCGUUUAUGACCCAUUUAUUAAACGAAUUCUAAACGAAUAAACGAAUCUAAAUUUUCAAACCCGCAUUCAAUUCGUUUAAUUAACGAAUCGAAUCGAAUUCACCCAUUUAUUAAACGAAUCAAUUUUUUCAAACCCAAACCCAUUUAAUUCGCAUCGAAUCGAAUCGAAUAAACGAAUCCUGACCCAUAUUGCCACCCUUAGGAAGAAACCAUUAAUUUGAAGUGCAAUGGACGGAUAUGACAGAUCUAUCAUUUUGGCUAGUAGAUGGAGUUCUUCCAUUCUACUGUUAUUUACUGGUUGUUUUUAUUGAUUCUAGAAAACAUUUUUCGAUUUGGCAGUUGGAGUUUUUCCCUUUUUUUUUUCUCCCCAUUUUGUAGGCCUUAGAGAACCAAAUAAUACUACAUAUUAGAUAGACAGGAUUAUUAUGUGCUAAUUUGAAGUAUUACCUGGUUGACAAUUUAAGACACUAGUAAAGUAUUUCGCUAUGAUUAUUUUUUUUUGAGAAUUCCAUGAUUCAAAAGGCCGAAGAAUUUCAUUAGUUUAACAUAGUAUAUAUUAACAUAAUUCCUCACUGAGUGUUUUUUUCAACAUUUCAGGCAUGUACAUAUCAAAUUCCCAUUUAUGUUCCACUGGAUUCUGCCUCAUGUUAUGUCCGGAUUUGUUGUAAUAAAUUUUGCUACUGUAAAAUUACAAGAUGAUUGUAACUUAAAAUGAACUAUUUCUAUUUGCUCAAUUUUUGACAUUUUAUAUGCAUACAAGUUAAAAAGGUUUUGUUUAUUUUUAUUUUUUUAUUUUUUUAUUUUUUCAGGUAAUGCAGAUUAGGGAAAAGAUUCAUGGAGCACAUCAUGAUAUGAUGGUGGAAGAUGCACUGCCCCAUGAUUGAUUGAAAAAGAGUAUGACUAUAGUGGAAAGCAAGACCGAGGAAGUAAUAGAAGACAGUGUUCAACCUGAAGAGCCAGAAGAGAAUGAUGAUAUUACUAGAUAUGGACCGGCAAUUUCAGGUGAGUUUGUGGAAGAAACAAAUUCAGAUGAGGGGUGGCAAGAAGCCAAUCCAAAAGGUAGGUCAGGAAAUGCUGCUGUUCGGAAGCUCAGCCGGAGGCAACCUGUUCUUACAAAGCUAAAUGUCAAUGGUUGUGAACAUUCAAAUCUUAGAGAAAAAGGCAAUAGACGGGAAAUUGUAUCUCCAGCACGGGAAAAAGCUUCAAGGACCACCACCACUGAGUUAACAGGCAUGAAGGAUUCAAUUAAAUUGCAGGCAAAAGCUUCUGUCUCCAAAGUUUAUGCAAGUCCACCAAACCUUACUGCCAUGGAUUCCAAGUCGCUGUCUUACAAAGAAGUAGCUGUGGCACCACCAGGUACGGUUCUAAAGCCAUUACCAGAGAAACCUGAUGAAAAAAUUGAAGAAAAAACUGAAACACAGAUGUGCAGUAAUGCUCCUGAGACAUCAAAGGCGGAGUUGAAUAACCAUUUCUCUCCCGUUGAAGAUGCGCCAGUUGAUGGUCAGUCUCAAGAAACUCAUGGAAGUGUAAUUCAAUCUGAAACUACUGCUGCAGAUACCGAGGAAGUUCCUUCUUCUUCUAAUGAGGAAAAGCCCAUGGAAACAAAUGGGAGUAAGCUUUCUGCCACAGCUGAACCAUUCAACCCAGGAGCUGUCUCCAUGACUCAUCUGCUAAACUCUGUAGCAGCCACGAGUAUUUAUGAUGCGAGAACUGGUCAAGGUAUGCUUGCAGAACCUGCUGUACCUUCGGCUGCUGCUAGAGUUCCUUGUGGGCCAAGGUUGCCUCUCUAUUAUAGAAAUAAUUAUUCUUACAUUAUGAAACAUGGAUUUCCAAAAUACCACUCUUCCAUUAUGGAAAGAAACCUGUUGGGGCCUUCAAGAAUCAUGAACCCGCAUGCACCCGAGUUUGUGCCAAUGAGAGGUUGGCAAAUAAAUCCUGGAUAUGCAGAUUCAAAUGUUUCAAAUGAGUCGAACUCUUCAAAUGACACAAGUGAGGCAGACAAUGAGAAACUUGACAAAAUGUCCAGUAUUCAAGGCGAGGAUAAUACCUCAAGAAAGAGCAGUACAGAGGCGGAGAAGUCAUAGCUGGCAAGACAGAUACUACUUAGCUUCAUUGUAAAGUCAGUCCAGCAUAAUAUGGAUGCUCCAAGUCAAUCUUCAGGCUGCGAAAAGAAGAUUGGGUAUUCAGAAAAUUCUUCACAUGCAAUUGCAAAUGAUAGUGCUAUCAUAAAGAUCCUUUAUGGAAAUGAAAAGGGCAAAACAAACUUGGUAUCUCAGUCCAAUGAUCAAGAACAGCAAAAACCCAAAGAUGAAAACCAAAAAAGUGGGGAUGGUGAAGGAUUUAUAGUUGUCAGAAAACGGAGAAGAAACCGACAGCAGAUCACAAAUGGGGUAACUGAGAUGUACAAUCAUCAAUCCAUCUGUGCUUCUGUUCGUUAAAAGAGAGAGCAAAGGAAUAAAAUGCAAAGGUGCCAUCCUGUUUCUCCCAAUUUUAUUCGAAAAAUUUGUUAGUGAAUGUUGCUGUUGUAGAGAUGGUUAAAGUUUGGAGCAAGUUUUAAUCAAUACUUGAUUGUAUCAUUUUAGAUAUCCUCUCUGGAUGUUCUAAUAAAAUAUUUGUACAAAUCGGUUUCUUGUUUUGUUAAAAGAUUUUGUUUUGAUCAAUAAAUGAUGAUAAAUUAAUUGGGCGAUUUUCCUCAUCAAGAGAUCUGUGAUGUUGUUCUAUAAUGGAUUUUAAUGUUUUAGACUGAGAUUUGUAGUUAUGCCUC
This 42402-nucleotide long non-coding RNA is filed under the name Citrus maxima (pomelo). RNAcentral's name for it is "long non-coding RNA (CMAX_LNC000246)". The record is from RNAcentral. Lineage: Eukaryota; Viridiplantae; Streptophyta; Magnoliopsida; Sapindales; Rutaceae.